Molecule: microRNA precursor, 136 nt
Filed under: Hordeum vulgare
Lineage: Eukaryota; Viridiplantae; Streptophyta; Magnoliopsida; Poales; Poaceae
Description: microRNA MIR1122
Rfam family: MIR1120/MIR1122 microRNA precursor family
Source: RNAcentral
AACUUACUCCCUCCGUCUCAAAAUUCUUGUUUUAUGUUUGUAUAGAUAUGAAUGUAUCUAGUCAUGUAUUAGUAUUUAGAUACAUCUAUUUUUAGACAAACAUAAGACAAGAAUUUUGAGACAAAGGGAGUACAUG